AACGAACGCUGGCGGCAUGCCUAACACAUGCAAGUCGAACGAGACCUUCGGGUCUAGUUGCGCACGGGUGCGUAACGCGUGGGAACCUGCCCUUAGGUUCGGAAUAACUCCUCGAAAGGGGUGCUAAUACCGGCUAAUGUCUUCGGACCAAAGAUUUAUCGCCUUUGGAUGGGCCCGCGUUGGAUUAGCUAGUUGUUAGGGUAAAAGCCUACCAAGGCGACGAUCCAUAGCUGGUCGUAGAGGAUGAUCAGCCACACUGGGACUGAGACACGGCCAAGACUCCUACGGGAGGAAGCAGUGGGGAAUAUUGGACAAUGGGAGCGAGCCUGAUCCAGCAAUAGCGCGUGGGUGGUACAGGCCUGAGGGUUGUAAAGCUCUUUUAGCCGGGAUGAUAGUGACAGUACCGGGAGAAUAAGCUGCGGCUAACUACGUG
This 433-nucleotide ribosomal RNA is filed under the name uncultured bacterium. Its description in RNAcentral is "partial 16S ribosomal RNA". It matches the Rfam family "Bacterial small subunit ribosomal RNA", at positions 29 to 507 of the family's 1533-position model. The record is from RNAcentral.